Molecule: ribosomal RNA, 460 nt
Filed under: uncultured bacterium
Lineage: Bacteria
Description: partial 16S ribosomal RNA
Rfam family: Bacterial small subunit ribosomal RNA
Source: RNAcentral
CCUACGGGAGGCAGCAGUGAGGAAUAUUGGUCAAUGGGCGCGAGCCUGAACCAGCCAAGUAGCGUGAAGGAUGACUGCCCUACGGGUUGUAAACUUCUUUUAUAAAGGAAUAAAGUGAGGCACGUGUGCCUUUUUGUAUGUACUUUAUGAAUAAGGAACGGGGAACUCAGUGCCAGCGGCCGCGGUAAUACGGAGGAUCCGAGCGUUAACCGGAUUUAUUGGGUUUAAAGGGAGCGUAGAUGGGUUGUUAAGUCAGUUGUGAAAGGUUGCGGCUCAACCGUAAAAUUGCAAUUGAUACUGGCAGUCUUGAGUACAGUUGAGGUAAGCGGAAUUCGUGGUGUAGCGGUGAAAUGCUUAGAUAUCACGAAGAACUCCGAUUGCGAAGGCAGCUUACUAAACUGCCACUGACAUUGAUGCUCGAAAGUGUGGGUAGCAAACAGGAUUAGAUACCCCAGUAGUC